RNAcentral lists this long non-coding RNA (236 nucleotides) under Trifolium pratense (red clover). RNAcentral describes it as "long non-coding RNA (TPRA_LNC013676)". Lineage: Eukaryota; Viridiplantae; Streptophyta; Magnoliopsida; Fabales; Fabaceae. The record is from RNAcentral.
GUUUUAAGGCAUUAAAUAAGAGGAAAUUGCAUGAGGUAGAAAAGAGCUAGUUCCACAAAGAAAAGGUGAAAUUUGUGACCAUUUUGUCUUGCUGCUUCAUGAGUUUCACGUGAGUUACUUGAGUGCCACGCAGCUGCUAAGCAUUUGGCCUUGUUUUGAUGCAUUUCCUGCGUGAUAUGUGAGAAGGAUGUUGCCACACAUAUGGAUAUUCAUUUUAGCCAUGUGAAUUCUGUAAC